Long non-coding RNA from Phragmites australis (common reed), 1861 nucleotides. RefSeq lists it as uncharacterized. The transcript has 2 exons. NCBI's taxonomy places the organism in Eukaryota, Viridiplantae, Streptophyta, Magnoliopsida, Poales, Poaceae. The record is from RefSeq and is a predicted model, not a curated record.
AGGACCUCGAAGUUGGUUGGUCAAGACCCAACUUGGCGUUAUUGCACCUCGCUGGUCCGGCGGCCCCCUCGACCGGCUCCUCCGGAGAGCUCCCUCUCCAAUGUGGCCAGGAUUCGAGGGAGGGGCGGUCGGGAGACGAGGUUGGUCGUUGGUCCUCCCACAAGAUCCGCCGGCUCUCGCGGCGAGCUCGGCCAGGAUCACAGGGAGAUCGGCAGGAGGGGCGCUCGUCUUCCGGUUCCUCCAUGGUGUCGCCUGCGUCUUCUACGCCAAGGUCCUCGGGGCCUUGUUCUCCUUCUGGAUGGACAAGUCGAGACACCCCUCCUCUUCUCCUCCUUUCCCGUCUUGGAGUUCUUAUUCCUCUUGACGUUCUUGAUUUUUCCUCGCCGGUGACAUGGUCAAUCUGAGAUUUCACCAACUAAAUUGAGAAGCAACAAUCGCGACAUGGAAGCAGCAGUAGCUGCCGUUGGUGCGUGUGUGUGGGAUAGAUAAAUAGACAGAUGAAAAUGCAGGCUGCUGGGGCAAUCGUCCCUUGCAGUCCAGUGAACCGGACCGACGACCUCCUGCACCGCAUGCAAGCAACUGCCGUUUGUGCCCAUCGGCUUCUUGUAGGUUACUUAUAAUCGUAGUCUCAGAUGGUAACAUAUUUACUUUACCCCAUUAAAAUUACCCUGUACAGGGAUUUUAUCUUCUGUUCUAGUCACAGAUCAUAGUUUCUUUUUCUGUAUUGCUUCUUUACACAGAUUAGUUCAUAGAAUCUGAUUGUACAGGGACUUUGAACUAGACUGCAGUGCAUAGAAUCUGAUUGUUUUCUUAAAUAAUACAUUCUACUUGCUUUCGUUUAGUUCUUAUCAUAUUAUAAUUUCAAAUCACAGAUUUUUCUAGCUCAUAAAACAAAUUCUUUCAACGGAGAAGUGAUGAUGCUUUAUCCAGACCACAUGUCUGCAUCUCAGAUUAUACAGCUUUCACUUUCAAAAAGUCUUAUUUUGUUUCUUUUCUAGCACGGAGCUGCAACUGUUAACUGAAUUUCUAUGGUUUUGCCGUUUGUGAAAUUUUGAUUCUUGCAGUGUGCAAUCUGUGAUGUAAAUUGACCCAUUUGCUGAAAUCUAGUGAUUAUUCCAGAAACAAUCACCAUCUAAGAUUCAUGGUUCUGUACUUCUGUUCUUGAUACAAGCGCUAGUUCAAUCUGCUAAUUACCAAGAAGUGUGGUUCCCUAAUAUUACUCAUGUCAAUUUUUUCUACUGCAUCUUAUAGUUCAAUAGUGUUGCUAUUUCAUUUUGGCAGCUUGUUAGCUUAGCAACAUUGCCCAAAGUACCUGAGAAUGAUAGCUUUGAUAUCUAUCAGCUUUAAUUCGAGGGGAAUCGCGAAGGGAAAUGAGAGAGAAUCCCAUUCUGAAGGGAGUAAUCUUUGGAAUCCUUUCGUGAUGGGAACCGUAAACGGAAACCGUUGGAGCGCUGAAAGGAACGAAAAUCCAUAACGAGAUUUUCACCCGCAACGGGAAUCCCUUGGCAUAGUCUAAGACUUAUGAAAAAGUAUUGGAUAUAUUUGCAUGAUUCUCACAAGGUUGCUUGCUUCUCAAUUAGUUAUGAGUAUUUACUUAUGGUCCUCUUGAUUAUCUGUUUUCUGAUUGUAGGGUCUCUUACAUAAGCAUCUGCUAAGAAGUAUUCAUUGUUUUGGAUCAGUGUGCUCGAAAAAUGUAAUCAAUGGUUAGGACUUCUUUCGGGAAGUAUCAAGUCUGUUUUAGCUCCUUUAUUUUUCGGCUGUAUUGCUUGUAGAGAUGAUAAAAUGGAAGCACUGUUGUACUUCGAGCACUUGAAAUCUCCGAAAUGUUGAAAUAAAGUUGUAAAAAGGUUGAUAUGGAGAA